AUGCUCACUUUGGUAGCAGAUAUACUAAAAUUGGAAUGAUACAGAAAUUAGCAUCACCCCUGCAAAAAGAUGACAUACAAAUUUGUGAAAUGUUCCAUGUUUUU
Gorilla gorilla gorilla (western lowland gorilla) is the source of this 104-nucleotide small nuclear RNA. Lineage: Eukaryota; Metazoa; Chordata; Mammalia; Primates; Hominidae. The record is from Ensembl.